AUGGUGCGCGCAGCCACCGUGGAGCUCGGGCGCACACCACUGAGAGCCGAGAAGAUGGAGGCCAUGACGGAGACGCUGCUACAUGGGAAGGUGUUGCGCGUGGUCGAAGGGGCGCAGGCCACGCUGUUCUUCACGUCCGACCAGGCCAGGAUGCUCGGGCCGUCAGCGGCCACAACCUUGUCUUCGACGGCGCCGCCACCGCCAUCAACCCCACAUACACGACCGCCGCAGCGGCGCGGAGCACGCCCAUGGUCACAAGAGAAACACUGCUCUUGUCCUCGCCAAGAAGUAGUAGCCACAGCACCUGGAAUGGCUGACCUUGACGUAACUGGCAUACCUGGACGCUCACCUACCCACAGGCUGACCUUGACGUAA
RNAcentral lists this ribosomal RNA (375 nucleotides) under Triticum aestivum (bread wheat). RNAcentral's name for it is "partial small subunit ribosomal RNA". The record is from RNAcentral. Lineage: Eukaryota; Viridiplantae; Streptophyta; Magnoliopsida; Poales; Poaceae.